Molecule: ribosomal RNA, 570 nt
Filed under: Phrynobatrachus cf. dendrobates TRL-2016
Lineage: Eukaryota; Metazoa; Chordata; Amphibia; Anura; Phrynobatrachidae
Description: partial 16S ribosomal RNA
Rfam family: Bacterial large subunit ribosomal RNA
Source: RNAcentral
CAAAAACAUCGCCUCUUGCCAAAUUAUAAGAGGUCCAGCCUGCCCAGUGACAAGAUUCAACGGCCGCGGUAUCCUAACCGUGCGAAGGUAGCAUAAUCACUUGUUCUUUAAAUAAGGACUAGUAUCAACGGCAUCACGAGGGUUACACUGUCUCCUCCCUUCAAUCAGUGAAACUGAUCUCCCCGUGAAGAAGCUGGGAUAUUAUUAUAAGACGAGAAGACCCCAUGGAGCUUUAAACUCAACAGCAUCUUCUUACACUAAGACCAAGAAAACUAAGGAAAAACUGCUUGUUAGUUUUAGGUUGGGGUGACCGCGGAGAAUAAUUAAACCUCCACAACGAAUGGGCACGCCCUUAUCCAAGAGCAACCACUCUAAGAAUCAACAAAUUGACGUACUAUGAUCCGACACUCGAUCAACGAACCAAGUUACCCUGGGGAUAACAGCGCAAUCCAUUUCAAGAGCCCCUAUCGACAAAUGGGUUUACGACCUCGAUGUUGGAUCAGGGUAUCCUAGUGGUGCAGCCGCUACUAAAGGUUCGUUUGUUCAACGAUUAAAACCCUACGUGAUCUG